CCUACGGGUGGCAGCAGUGAGGAAUAUUGGUCAAUGGGCGCGAGCCUGAACCAGCCAAGUAGCGUGAAGGAUGACUGCCCUACGGGUUGUAAACUUCUUUUAUAAAGGAAUAAAGUGAGGCACGUGGGCCGUUUUGUAUGUACGUUAUGAAUAAGGAUGGGCUAACUCCGUGCCAGCAGCCGCGGUAAUACGGAGGAUCCGAGCGUUAUCCGGAUUUAUUGGGUUUAAAGGGAGCGUAGAUGGGUUGUUAAGUCAGUUGUGAACGUUUGCGGCUCACCCGUAAAAUUGCAAGUGAUACUGGCAGUCUUUAGUACAGUUGCGGUCGGCGGCAUUCGUGUUGUAGCGGUGACAUGCUUAGCUCUCACGA
This 367-nucleotide ribosomal RNA is filed under the name uncultured bacterium. Its description in RNAcentral is "partial 16S ribosomal RNA". It matches the Rfam family "Bacterial small subunit ribosomal RNA", at positions 338 to 702 of the family's 1533-position model. The record is from RNAcentral.